Molecule: ribosomal RNA, 424 nt
Filed under: uncultured bacterium
Lineage: Bacteria
Description: partial 16S ribosomal RNA
Rfam family: Bacterial small subunit ribosomal RNA
Source: RNAcentral
GAAUAUUGGACAAUGGGGGGAACCCUGAUCCAGCCAUGCCGCGUGUGUGAAGACGGCCUUUUGGUUGUACAGCACUUUAAGCGAGGAGGAGGAGCUCUUGGUUAAUACCCAAGAUGCUUGGACGUUACUCGCAGACUACGCACCGGCUAACGCUUUACACGAAGCCGCGGAAAUACAGUGGGUGCAAGCGUUAAUCGGAUUUACGUGGAGUAAAGCGCGCGAAGGUGGCCAAUUAAUUCAAAUGUGAAAUCCCCGAGCUUAACUUGGGAAUUGCAUUCGAUACUGGUUGGCUAGAGUAUGGGAGAGGAUGGUGGAAUUCCAGGUGCAGCGGUGAAAUGCGUAGAGAUCUGGAGGAAUACCGAUGGCGAAGGCAGCCAUCUGGCCUAAUACUGACACUGAGGUGCGAAAGCAUGGGGAGCAAACA